This is a long non-coding RNA of Peromyscus eremicus (cactus mouse), 593 nucleotides long. RefSeq lists it as uncharacterized. The transcript is spliced from 3 exons. NCBI's taxonomy places the organism in Eukaryota, Metazoa, Chordata, Mammalia, Rodentia, Cricetidae. The record is from RefSeq and is a predicted model, not a curated record.
GUCACUCUCUCCCUUGGUACCAGGGACGUGCCUUCUCUGUGCCUCUGCUCCUCCCCCAGUGCAGCUCUGGGCUCACAUCCUCCCUCCAGGCAGAGGACAAGAAAAUACGGAAGAGGAGUCUUGGCCAAGCUCCUUGUCACAUCUGGAACAGCUGUUCUCUCUCCCCCCUGUACCACCAAGCGAAUUACCUGUUUGGGGGAUCAUCUGGUAGUUUGUGGAGAAAAGGCCUAUACACAGAAAGAGCAGCCAGGACCACAGUAAGCAUGGACCGUGGGACACAACACAAGGUGAGAGUGUGCAGCAGGGUCUAAAGUGGCCUGUGUGCUCAACAACAGAGGCCAGCCUGCAUCUGGACGCCCGCGGUCGCUGAGGGAAGGGCAGCUGCAUCUGUCUCACGCAGUGACAGAAGAACCAGCGGCCCUCAAUUACCAACUGCUGACUACUAACCUCUGCCUGGAGAUUGCAGGAGAGUCACAGUUGGCUGCAACCCAUUAGUGUGCCGUAAAAUCAAUUGAAAAGGGGAUUACCAUCCUUUUUUAUUAAGUAAACUGAACAAGGGAAUAAAGAUGAAUGUAAUAAAAUAUAAAAAUAUA